This 468-nucleotide ribosomal RNA is filed under the name uncultured bacterium. RNAcentral describes it as "partial 16S ribosomal RNA". It matches the Rfam family "Bacterial small subunit ribosomal RNA", at positions 28 to 507 of the family's 1533-position model. The record is from RNAcentral.
GACGAACGCUGGCGGCGUGCUUAACACAUGCAAGUCGAACGGAAAGGCCCUGCUUUUGUGGGGUGCUCGAGUGGCGCACGGGUGAGUAACACGUGAGUAACCUGCCCUUGACUUUGGGAUAACUUCAGGAAACUGGGGCUAAUACCGGAUAGGAGCUCCUGCUGCAUGGUGGGGGUUGGAAAGUUUCGGCGGUUGGGGAUGGACUCGCGGCUUAUCAGCUUGUUGGUGGGGUAGUGGCUUACCAAGGCUUUGACGGGUAGCCGGCCUGAGAGGGUGACCGGCCACAUGGGGACUGAGAGACGGCCCAGACGCCUACGGGAGGCAGCAGGGGGGAAUAUUGCACAAUGGGCGGAAGCCUGAUGCAGCAACGCCGCGUGCGGGAUGACGGCCUUCGGGUUGUAAACCGCUUUCGCCGGAGACGAAGCGUGAGUGACGGUAAUGGGUAAAGAAGCACCGGCUAACUACGUG